Molecule: ribosomal RNA, 517 nt
Filed under: uncultured bacterium
Lineage: Bacteria
Description: bacterial SSU rRNA
Rfam family: Bacterial small subunit ribosomal RNA
Source: RNAcentral
AAUCAACGCUGGCGGCGUGCCUCAGACAUGCAAGUCGAACGCGAAAUCCCGAGCAAUCGGGAAAGUAGAGUGGCGCACGGGUGAGUAACACGUAGGUAAUCUACCUUCGGAUGGGGAAUAACAAUCGGAAACGAUUGCUAAUACCGCAUAAUGCAGCGGCACCUAAUGGUGACAGUUGUUAAAGCGGGGGAUCGAAAGACCUCGCGUCUGAAGAGGAGCCUGCGGCGGAUUAGCUAGUUGGUAAGGUAAUGGCUUACCAAGGCAACGAUCCGUAACCGGCCUGAGAGGGCGGUCGGUCACACUGACACUGACAUACGGGUCAGACUCCUACGGGAGGCAGCAGUCGGGAAUUCUGGGGCAAUGGGCGAAAAGCCUGACCCAGCAACGCCGCGUGAAAGGAUGAAAUCCCUCGGGAUGUAAACUUCGCAAGAACGGGAAGAAUAAGUAGGGGACAAUACCCCCUAUGAUGACGGUACCGUUUUGUAAAGCUCCGGCUAACUCCGUGCCAGCAGCCGCC